GAUGAACGCUGGCGGCGUGCCUAAUACAUGCAAGUCGAGCGAACGGACGAGAAGCUUGCUUCUCUGAUGUUAGCGGCGGACGGGUGAGUAACACGUGGAUAACCUACCUAUAAGACUGGGAUAACUUCGGGAAACCGGAGCUAAUACCGGAUAAUAUUUUGAACCGCAUGGUUCAAAAGUGAAAGACGGUCUUGCUGUCACUUAUAGAUGGAUCCGCGCUGCAUUAGCUAGUUGGUAAGGUAACGGCUUACCAAGGCAACGAUGCAUAGCCGACCUGAGAGGGUGAUCGGCCACACUGGAACUGAGACACGGUCCAGACUCCUACGGGAGGCAGCAGUAGGGAAUCUGCCGCAAUGGGCGAAAGCCUGACGGAGCAACGCCACGUGAGUGAUGAAGGUCUUCGGAUCGUAAAACUCUGUUAUUAGGGAAGAACAUAUGUGUAAGUAACUGUGCACAUCUUGACGGUACCUAAUCAGAAGGCCACGGCUAACUACGU
Molecule: ribosomal RNA, 496 nt
Filed under: uncultured bacterium
Lineage: Bacteria
Description: partial 16S ribosomal RNA
Rfam family: Bacterial small subunit ribosomal RNA
Source: RNAcentral